Lycium ferocissimum is the source of this 2935-nucleotide long non-coding RNA. RefSeq lists it as uncharacterized. The transcript has 3 exons. NCBI's taxonomy places the organism in Eukaryota, Viridiplantae, Streptophyta, Magnoliopsida, Solanales, Solanaceae. The record is from RefSeq and is a predicted model, not a curated record.
UUGAGACACAUAAAACUAUUUCUCGAUUAUUCUUAGGUUUCACCAUCACUUUCCAUUUUCCAUUACUCCUUUCUUGUUCAUUGUUUUUAAGAAAAUUUGGUGAAGUCAAGGAUGAUGAUGGAGAAAUUUUCAUUCUAUCAUCCCCCCUCAAGUUGGAGGGGAGCAAAGUGAUACCCAAAUUGUAGAGAUUAUUCUGAUGAGAAGGACCCGAUAAGAAUUUGGUGAAGAUAUAGUUGGUCUUUGGACGGAACAAAGCUUAAAAAGAUCAACCCAGCCAAAUACAGUUACCUAACAAAGUGGCAAUCAAGUUCUACGUGUUUCGUACAUGCAUGAAACACGAGGUUUCGAGCAAUAUGAAUAGCCGCUUGGCUAUUGGAGUGAAUCAACGCCGGAAGUGAAGGAGAAUCCGAUAGAUCUGUAAGUAAUCUUGUCAACUAUGUUAAUUCCGCAACUAAUCUCCUCAUUGACCUAUAUUCUGCUUCUGCAAAUGACAUAGAAAUACUAGCCUGUUUUUUCGAUUAACAUGAAAUCAUAGAACCACCCAAGCUGAUGAAAAAACCACUAAUUGAUUGACGCGAAUCACAGCAUGAAGUCCAAUUGGCGUCCCAAAACGCCUUGAGAGAGAAGGAAGAUAAAGCAUUAAGGAAAAGGCCUUGAUUUGGGAAUUUCUUCAGAGAGCUUGUGAGAAGGAUCCAUGGGAGAUGAGACCGAACCAAGAUAAGUGACAUCAAACUCAUUCAACAAGUCUAAGGUUUAUUUCCUUUGACUCAUUAUGAAACUAGUAGCUUCCCUUAGAAUUUCAAUGCCUAGAAAAUAAUGUGGUGGUCCAAGAUCUUUAUUUUGAAUUCCUGAUGAAAAAAUGACUUUAGUGCUGAGAUUUCAUUAAUAGCAUCCCCUGUAAUCAGUAUAUCAUCAACAUAGACUGUCACUACAGCAAUAGAAUCUCCAGUGUUUUUAAAAAACAAAAAGUAGUCAUUAAGAGAAGCUGUAAAACCUUUGAAACUAAGUGCUCCUGCAAGCCUGACAUACCAUUGCCUAGAGGCUUGUUUGAGCCCAUAAAGAGACUUUAUCAGUCUAUAAACUUGAUUGGGUUGAGGGAGAUCCAAACCAGUAGGAAAUUUCAUAUAAACCUCUUCUUAUAGUCCCCUUGCAAGAAAACAUUGUUAACAUCAAAUUGAGAAACUUCCCACCCAUUUUUUACCAUCAAAUUGAGAAACUUCCCACUCAUUUUUGGGUUGAUAGUGGUUAUUUUGACCACUGGGGAAUGUUUCAUUGAAAUCUAUCCCUUCUCUUUAUUUAUCUCCCCUAAUCACUAAUCCAGCCUUUAGCCUUUCAAUUGUACCAUAUGCAUGUUAUUUAACUUUAUACACCCACUUACAAGGAAUAACUUUCCUACCCUUAAGUAAACAAACAACAUCCCAGGUCUGAUUUUGUUGAAGGGCCUCAAUUACAUCUUGCAUGGCCUUGAUCCAACCCGGAUGAGUACAAGCUUGGUAAACGUUGGUAGGUUCUGUGAUUAUGGAAGUAGAAUUAAUAAUACUCUGAUUAGGAGUAAAAAUAGUAGGAAAAGAAAUUGAAGGCGGAGGACUAGGGACUACCAAAACAGGAUUCUGUGACAUUGCUUAGAAAAAUAGAGUUACAAAAAUAGUCUUUAAGAUGAGAAGGAUGAACCCCAAAAUUCUCCCUUUGUGACUUUCUAGUGGGUGGUGGUGGUUGUACAAUGGGUGGUGAAUCAUGAGGGAGUGGUGGUUGUAUAACACGUGCAAAAUCAUGAGAUAGCGAAAUAGAAGGUGGUGAAUCAGAAAGUGAUGAAACAAUAGGAGAGGAAGGGUUAGUAGGUUGAAUGUUAGGAUCUGUAUCAGUGAUAGAUGAAGAUGGUGGUGAAAAUCAUUAACCAUAUUAGGAGAAGGAAAAAGAGAUGUAGGAACAGAAUGAAUAGCGGAAUGAAAAGGAAAAAUAGUUUCAAAGAAAUGUACAUCUCUGCAGACAAAUAAUUUCUUAGUUUCUAAAUCAAGAAGUUUUUAACCCUUUGAGUACUAGGAUAUCCAAAAAAAAAAAAAAAAAAAAAAAAAAAAAAACAAGUUUCUUUGCUCUUCAAACAAAUUUUCCUCUACCUUCAGCCAAAGUACUUGCAUAACAUAAGCAGCCAAAGCACCUUAAAAACUGAUAAGAUGGUGAAUAACCAAACAAAAUCGCAUAAGUUGUUUUUCCAUGAAGAACUCUAGAAGGUAAUCUGUUGACAAAAAAGGUAGGCACAGGAUGCAUUCUCCCCAAUAAAUCAUUGGCAGCUUAGAUUGAAAAAGUAAUGCCAUGGAAACUUCAAGUAAAUGCACAUUUCCUCUCACCCACCCCAUUUUGUUGUGGGGUGGCAACACAAGAAGUUUAAUGAAUUAUUACUUGUGUGCUGAAAAAAUUGGAAAUAACUUCACUUUUCCCUAAUUCCAUGGCAUAAUCAAAUCUGAUGAAUAUCACAUUUGCACUAAACUGCCUUUCAACCAUUUGUAGAAAACAUUGGAUAACAGUGAAAGUAUUACUAUUAGUUGCAAGCAAAUAAGUCCAAGUACAUCUACUAUAGUCAUCUACUAUAGUGAAAAAAAAAUACUUAUAGUGAUUGUGAGUAGGAACUCUGUAUGGUCACCAUGUAUCAAUAUGAAUUAGUUCAAAAACAUAUUUAGAGGUGAUUUGACUGGUAGAAAAUGGUAACCUAGUUUGCGUAGCUUGAGGACAAAUAUCAUAAUAACAAGUAAAAUCAAGAGGAAUAGAAAGGAAACCGACAUUUUUCAUUGAUGAAUAUGGAAAAUGCCUAACCUGUAGCAAUCAUCCAUGACAUGACCUACUUUUCCACAAUAAGCACAAGAAACAUUAGGGUUAAAAAAAAUUGCUUUUGAAUUUUUAGCUCUGUUUUGUGAACCUUGUGGGUUGUUGAGCAUUGUUC